GAGAAAAACUUCUUUUAUAGCUCUUGCCUUUCUCAAAGGGGGAGGACUCAUCCUGGAGAGAAACCCCAUGGAUGUAUUCAACAUGGUAAAUCUUUUUGAUGGAGCUCUCACCUAGUUGCACAUCACAACUUAUACCAGAUAGAAAAUUUAUGAAUGUAAUCAAUGUGGAAAGUUUUUCAGCCUGGUGCUCCCACCUUGUUAGACGUAUACUGAAGACUCUGGGAACAUCGGGAACGUCAGAGAGCUUUCAGCAGGAGAUCUCAUCUAAUUGGGCAAUAGAAAACUCAUACUGAAGAAAAACAAUUCCAUGUAAUCAAUGUGAGAAAUAUUUCAGUGACAUCCUUGAUUUUAAUUGGCAUCAGGGAAAGUGUAAUAGAGAGAAGCCUUAUGAAUGUAGUCAAGGUAGGAAAUCUUUCUAUACAGCUCUGGCCUUGUUGCACAUAAAAUAACUCAUACUGGAAAGAAGCUUCGUGACUGUAAUCAGUGUUGGAAAUGGUUCAGUUAGAGUUCUCACUUGUUGCUCAUCAGAUAAAUCAUACCGGUGAGAAACUGCGAGUGUCCUGAGUGUAGGAAAUCAGCUGGAGCUGAUUACUUAUAUGGCAUCAGAGAUUUCACAUUAGAGAGAAACCUCAUGAAUGUCACUGGUGUGGAAAAUCCCGCAGCAAGAAUUCUCACCUUAUUGAACAGCAAAUAACUCAUUCUGGAGAGAAGCCUAUAAAUGUAGUCAACGUGGAAAAACUUUCAGACAGAAUUAUUAUUGUGUAUGCACCAAAAAAUUCAUAUGGGCAAAAGCCAACAUGAAUGUCUAAAUGUGAAAAAGCCUUCAGGAGACUAUCUGACCUUAUGGAACACCAGAUCAUUCAUAAUAGAGAGAAACUGUAUGCAUAUAAUCAGUGCAGAAAGGCCUUUCAGGCAGCAUUCUAAUCAUGUCAGGCACCAGAUAACUCAUUCUUGAGUCAAACUG
RNAcentral lists this long non-coding RNA (964 nucleotides) under Homo sapiens (human). RNAcentral describes it as "non-protein coding lnc-ZNF544-2:1". Lineage: Eukaryota; Metazoa; Chordata; Mammalia; Primates; Hominidae. The record is from RNAcentral.